GCAGUAUCCUAACUGUGCUAAGGUAGCAUAAUCAUUAGUCUUUUAAUUGGAGACUGGUAUGAAUGGCUUAACGAGAAAUUAACUUUUUUUGUUAUAAAUAUUGAAUUUAAUUUUUUAGUGAAAAAGCUAAAAUUUUUCAGAAAGACGAGAAGACCCUAUAGAGUUUUAUGUUUUUAUAUAUUAUGUUUUAUUAGAUUUUCAAUAAUUAAGUAUUAUAAAACAUUUUGUUGGGGCGACAUUUAGAUAUAUAAAACUCUUUAUUUUAAAAAUUUUUAUAAAAAUAUAAUUGAUCCUUUAAAAAAGAUCAAAAGAAAAAAUUACCUUAGGGAUAACAGCGUAAUCUUUUUUAAGAGUUCUAAUCGACAAAAAGGUUUGCGACCUCGAUGUUGGACUAAAAUUUAGGCAUGGUGCAGCAGUUUUGCUUUAAGGUCUGUUCGACCUAUA
Molecule: ribosomal RNA, 444 nt
Filed under: Galkinius sp. 3 MM-2014
Lineage: Eukaryota; Metazoa; Arthropoda; Thecostraca; Balanomorpha; Pyrgomatidae
Description: partial 16S ribosomal RNA
Rfam family: Bacterial large subunit ribosomal RNA
Source: RNAcentral